CCUACGGGUGGCAGCAGUAGGGAAUCUUCCACAAUGGGCGAAAGCCUGAUGGAGCAAAGCCGCGUGGGUGAAGAAGGUCUUCGGAUCGUAAAACCCUGUUUUUAGAGAAGAAAGUGCGUGAGAGUAACUGUUCACGUUUCGACGGUAUCUAACAAGAAAGCCACGGCUAACUACGUGCCAGGAGCCGGGGUAAUACGUAGGUGGCAAGCGUUAUCCGGAUUUAUUGGGCGUAAAGGGAACGCAGGCGGUCUUUGAAGGCUGAUGUGAAAGCCGUCGGCUUAACCGGAGUAGUGCAUUGGAAACUGGGAGCCUUGAGUGCAGAAGAGGAGUGUGGAACUCCAUGUGUAGCGGUGAAAUGCGUAGAUAUAUGGAAGAACACCAGUGGCGAAAGCGGCUCUCUGGCCUGUAACUGACGCUGAGGUUCGAAAGCGUGGGUAGCAAACAGGAUUAGAUACCCGGGUAGUC
Molecule: ribosomal RNA, 465 nt
Filed under: uncultured bacterium
Lineage: Bacteria
Description: partial 16S ribosomal RNA
Rfam family: Bacterial small subunit ribosomal RNA
Source: RNAcentral